Molecule: long non-coding RNA, 1827 nt
Organism: Dreissena polymorpha
Lineage: Eukaryota; Metazoa; Mollusca; Bivalvia; Myida; Dreissenidae
Exons: 3
Source: RefSeq, a predicted model, not a curated record
UUAAUUUUAUUUUUUGAUGUUAAAAAUACACGAUGGAUACUUAAAUAUUGAUGUUUACCUUUUUUAUUUUGAUAUUUUAUGGUGUAGAUUAACCUAAGUUAAUAUAACAAUCAAAACAGUAGGGCAUGGAAUGGCAGAUCAACAUAAAUUUUCGGAUAAACUUUCUGGAUUUUGCCAAGUGAAGAACUCCAAUGAUAUACAUGUAGGGGCAUGUGUCCAAAGCUGAUCCACAUCAUAACAUACUGAUUGGGAAUAAUGACAUAGUACCAAAAGAUGUGCUUAUACUGUAAUUAGCAGAUCUUCACAAAUGAACCUGGCAGAUCCUGGUGCAACCUUACCUUACCAUGUUUACAUCUUACCGUCAGUUUGAGCUGUGUGUGGGUGGUAACACGGACUAUAUACAUGUAUUGCCCAGUAAUUGUCUUGUGAUGGACCUUUUUAACAUAUCAAGUAUUUAAUUGAAGACUUAAGAGGUCAGUUUUCAUCAAAGAAUUUAAAAAUACAGUUUUAUUUGUAAGGGUGAAUAUAUGGUUAUAAUGGCAUAAAUGUAUAUCUUGUGUCUGUUUUUUAAUCAGCCUUUCAUCCAUAAUUAUGAAUUUUAAGCAUGAUAAAGUAUUUUAAGGGAAUAUAAUGUAGACAUGUUAUGUUGUUUCUGCACAAGCAUUUGAAUACAAGAAAUUCUAUGCUCACUCAGCACUGUUUACACAUUGUCAAUGAAUUUGCUUGUUUUAGUUUCCAAAUCUGUCUGUCUCUAGCUCCCUGUGAAUAAUGUACUUUUUUACAUUGCAUCCAUUCAUUUUAAAUGGGGUGUAUUAUGCACAUGUCACACUUUUUUUACAAAAACAUUAAGGUCAAAGGUAAAAUAUAUGGGUCAAAAUCAUAACUUUUGCAAUAUUGAAGAUAGCAACUUGAUAUUUGGCAUGCAUGUGUACCUCAUGGAGCUGCACAUUUUGAGUGGUGAAAGGUCAAGGUCAUCCUUCAAGGUCAAAGGUCAAAUAUUUGGGUCAAAAUCGCUCAAAAGGGGACAUUGUGUAUUGUGUUUUACAAACACAUACCUUGUUAUGUUAUGUAAUGGCCUUUCAAUCAUCUUAUUUUUUUAUGAAAUACGCUGGAUUUGUCUUUUUAUUUCAUCCAUGAUAUCAUUAUGUUUUUUUUGCCUGUUACAUUUUGCGGCCCAAUGUACGUGUUAAGCAGUUUAACCAUUUACAACGGCAUUUGUGGCGAGGCUUACAGUCAUAAGGUUGGUCAUUACAUGCACUGCAUAUCAUAAAAUCGUUUGGCUUUUAUUGACAAAAUUUGCGAAAACGGUGUCCAAGACUAAACAUGACAAGUGUCGCAACUUCGUCCCCACCUGGGAAUUCAGAGCGCAAAUUUCAGAUUAUAAUGUGUCAGAUUUUACACUUGUAUAAUGAAGAAGUCAUCUCUUGACAAGAUGGUGAUGUACUGAUCUCGUUCCAAGCCACACAUGAUACUUGUUUUGAUUUUAAUCAAAAUCGGUGUUAAAUAGUAAACAUAAAAAGUGUCACAAAUUCGUCCCUAUUGAGAAGUCAGAGCUAAAAUUUCUGAUUUUAAUUUGUCAGAUUUUGCACUUUUAUAAUGAAGAAGUCAUCUCUUGACAAGAUGGUGGUGUCCUUAUCUCGUGCCGAGCCACAAAUGAUUCUUGUUUUGGUUCAAAGCAACAUAUAAACGAAGAUUUUUUUUAAUGUACUUUGUUUUAAAUUCUGUUCUUUGAAAAAUGCAUGUACUUUGUUUUAAAUUCUGUUCUUUGAAAAAUGCAUAAUAAGUCAUCAACUAUUAUAAUUUUAUGAAAAUAUUACUUUAAUUUUG